UGGGGAAUAUUGGACCAAUGGGCGCAAGCCUGAUCCAGCCAUGCCGCGUGAGUGAUGAAGGCCCUAGGGUUGUAAAGCUCUUUCGCCAGGGACGAUAAUGACGGUACCUGGAUAAGAAGCCCCGGCUAACUUCGUG
RNAcentral lists this ribosomal RNA (136 nucleotides) under uncultured bacterium. RNAcentral's name for it is "partial 16S ribosomal RNA". It matches the Rfam family "Bacterial small subunit ribosomal RNA", at positions 355 to 507 of the family's 1533-position model. The record is from RNAcentral.